GAUGAAGAACGUAGUGAAAUGCGAUAAGUAAUGUGAAUUGCAGAAUUCAGUGAAUCAUCGAAUCUUUGAACGCACAUUGCGCCCGCCAGUAUUCUGGCGGGCAUGUCUGUUCGAGCGUCAUUUCAACCAUCAAGCCCCCGGCUUGUGUUGGGGACCUGCGGCUGCCGCAGGCCCUGAAAAGCAGUGGCGGGCUCGCUGUCACACCGAGCGUAGUAGCAUACAUCUCGCUCUGGGCGUGCUGCGGGUUCCGGCCGUUAAACCACCUUCAUAACCCAAGGUUGACCUCGGAUCAGGUAGGAAGACCCGCUGAACUUAAGCAUAUCAAUAAGCGGAGGA
This 336-nucleotide unclassified non-coding RNA is filed under the name soil metagenome. RNAcentral's name for it is "partial contains 5.8S ribosomal RNA, internal transcribed spacer 2, and large subunit ribosomal RNA". The stretch from base 1 to 120 matches the Rfam family "5.8S ribosomal RNA", at positions 35 to 154 of the family's 154-position model. The record is from RNAcentral.